Molecule: transfer RNA, 73 nt
Filed under: Camelus bactrianus (Bactrian camel)
Lineage: Eukaryota; Metazoa; Chordata; Mammalia; Artiodactyla; Camelidae
Also listed under: 2 other names
Rfam family: tRNA
About the family: Transfer RNA (tRNA) molecules are approximately 80 nucleotides in length. Their secondary structure includes four short double-helical elements and three loops (D, anti-codon, and T loops).
Source: Rfam by way of RNAcentral
GAGGAUAAAGCUCAGUGAUAAAGCGCAUGCUUAGCAAUGCAUGAGGUCCUGAGUUCAAUCCCCAGUACCUCCU